AGCAGCCGCGGUAAUUCCAGCUCCAAUAGCGUAUAUUAAAGUUGUUGCAGUUAAAAAGCUCGUAGUUGAAUUUCGGGAUCAAAUUGUCGGUCGUGCCUCGGUACGUACUGGCGUUAUUGGUUCCUCCCUUCUGAAGAACCGCGAUGUCAUUAAUUUGGUGUCGCGGGGAAUCAGGACUGUUACUUUGAAAAAAUUAGAGUGUUUAAAGCAGGCUCGCGCUUGAAUACAUUAGCAUGGAAUAAUGAAAUAGGACGUUUGAUUCUAUUUUGUUGGUUUCUAGGAUCGACGUAAUGAUUAAUAGGGAUAGUUGGGGGCAUUAGUAUUCAAUUGUCAGAGGUGAAAUUCUUGGAUUUAUUGAAGACUAACUACUGCGAAAGCAUUUGCCAAGGAUGUUUUCAUUAAUCAAGAACGAAAGUUAGGGGAUCGAAGACGAUCAGAUACCGUCGUAGUCUUAACCAUAAACUAUGCCGACUAGGGAUCGGAUGAUGUUAAUUUUUUAAUGUACUCAUUCGGCGCCUUA
Molecule: ribosomal RNA, 520 nt
Filed under: uncultured Glomus
Lineage: Eukaryota; Fungi; Glomeromycota; Glomeromycetes; Glomerales; Glomeraceae
Description: SSU rRNA
Rfam family: Eukaryotic small subunit ribosomal RNA
Source: RNAcentral